RNAcentral lists this ribosomal RNA (498 nucleotides) under uncultured bacterium. Its description in RNAcentral is "partial 16S ribosomal RNA". It matches the Rfam family "Bacterial small subunit ribosomal RNA", at positions 28 to 507 of the family's 1533-position model. The record is from RNAcentral.
GACGAACGCUGGCGGCGUGCCUAAUACAUGCAAGUCGAGCGGACGGAUGGGAGCUUGCUCCCAGACCGCCAGCGGCGGACGGGUGAGUAACACGUGGGCAACCUGCCUGUAAGCCUGGGAUAACUCCGGGAAACCGGGGCUAAUACCGGAUAACUCUUUCCCUCACAUGAGGGAAAGCUGAAAGAUGGCAUCUCGCUAUCACUUACAGAUGGGCCCGCGGCGCAUUAGCUAGUUGGUGAGGUAACGGCUCACCAAGGCGACGAUGCGUAGCCGACCUGAGAGGGUGAUCGGCCACACUGGGACUGAGACACGGCCCAGACUCCUACGGGAGGCAGCAGUAGGGAAUCUUCCGCAAUGGACGAAAGUCUGACGGAGCAACGCCGCGUGAGUGAUGAAGGUUUUCGGAUCGUAAAACUCUGUUGUCAGGGAAGAACAAGUACCGGAGUAACUGCCGGUACCUUGACGGUACCUGACCAGAAAGCCACGGCUAACUACGUG